Molecule: ribosomal RNA, 402 nt
Filed under: uncultured bacterium
Lineage: Bacteria
Description: bacterial SSU rRNA
Rfam family: Bacterial small subunit ribosomal RNA
Source: RNAcentral
GAGGAAUAUUGCACAAUGGGCGAAAGCCUGAUGCAGCAACGCCGCGUGAGGGACGAAGGCCUUCGGGUCGUAAACCUCUUUUCUGGGGGACGAGUAAGGACGGUACUCCAGGAAUAAGUCUCGGCUAACUACGUGCCAGCAGCCGCGGUAAAACGUAGGAGGCGAGCGUUAUCCGGAUUUACUGGGCGUAAAGCGUACGCAGGUGGCUUCGUUAGUCGGACAUGAAAGCUCCUGGCUUAACUGGGAGAGGUUGUUCGAUACUGCGGGGCUUGAGGUUGGGAGAGGGACGUGGAAUUCCCGGUGUAGUGGUGGAAUGCGUAGAUAUCGGGAGGAACACCAGUGGCGCAAGCGGCGUCCUGGCCCACACCUGACGCUGAGGUACGAAAGCGUGGGUAGCAAACA